GGAAAGGUGGCAGAGUGGUCUAAUGCACCGGUUUUGAAAACCGGCGUAGUCGAUGAGGCUACCGCGGGUUCGACUCCCGCCCUUUCCG
RNAcentral lists this transfer RNA (88 nucleotides) under Medakamo hakoo. RNAcentral describes it as "trnS-UGA". It matches the Rfam family "tRNA". Rfam says of the family: Transfer RNA (tRNA) molecules are approximately 80 nucleotides in length. Their secondary structure includes four short double-helical elements and three loops (D, anti-codon, and T loops). Lineage: Eukaryota; Viridiplantae; Chlorophyta; Trebouxiophyceae; Coccomyxaceae. The record is from RNAcentral.